UGUUUUAAGAGACAAGAGUGUAUCCUGUAA
RNAcentral lists this non-coding RNA (30 nucleotides) under Rattus norvegicus (Norway rat). Lineage: Eukaryota; Metazoa; Chordata; Mammalia; Rodentia; Muridae. The record is from RNAcentral.